This 85-nucleotide transfer RNA is filed under the name Candidatus Peregrinibacteria bacterium. RNAcentral's name for it is "tRNA-Met". It matches the Rfam family "tRNA". From Rfam's summary of the family: Transfer RNA (tRNA) molecules are approximately 80 nucleotides in length. Their secondary structure includes four short double-helical elements and three loops (D, anti-codon, and T loops). Lineage: Bacteria; Candidatus Peregrinibacteriota. The record is from RNAcentral.
CGCGGGGUAGAGCAGUUGGCAGCUNNGGUAGCUCGUUGGGCUCAUAACCCAAAGGUCGCUGGUUCGAAUCCAGCCCCCGCAACCA